AAAUUGAAGAGUUUGAUCAUGGCUCAGAUUGAACGCUGGCGGCAGGCCUAACACAUGCAAGUCGAACGGUAACAGGAAGCAGCUUGCUGCUUCGCUGACGAGUGGCGGACGGGUGAGUAAUGUCUGGGAAACUGCCUGAUGGAGGGGGAUAACUACUGGAAACGGUAGCUAAUACCGCAUAACGUCGCAAGACCAAAGAGGGGGACCUUCGGGCCUCUUGCCAUCGGAUGUGCCCAGAUGGGAUUAGCUUGUUGGUGGGGUAACGGCUCACCAAGGCGACGAUCCCUAGCUGGUCUGAGAGGAUGACCAGCCACACUGGAACUGAGACACGGUCCAGACUCCUACGGGAGGCAGCAGUGGGGAAUAUUGCACAAUGGGCGCAAGCCUGAUGCAGCCAUGCCGCGUGUAUGAAGAAGGCCUUCGGGUUGUAAAGUACUUUCAGCGGGGAGGAAGGGAGUAAAGUUAAUACCUUUGCUCAUUGACGUUACCCGCAGAAGAAGCACCGGCUAACUCCGUGCCAGCAGCCGCGGUAAUACGGAGGGUGCAAGCGUUAAUCGGAAUUACUGGGCGUAAAGCGCACGCAGGCGGUUUGUUAAGUCAGAUGUGAAAUCCCCGGGCUCAACCUGGGAACUGCAUCUGAUACUGGCAAGCUUGAGUCUCGUAGAGGGGGGUAGAAUUCCAGGUGUAGCGGUGAAAUGCGUAGAGAUCUGGAGGAAUACCGGUGGCGAAGGCGGCCCCCUGGACGAAGACUGACGCUCAGGUGCGAAAGCGUGGGGAGCAAACAGGAUUAGAUACCCUGGUAGUCCACGCCGUAAACGAUGUCGACUUGGAGGUUGUGCCCUUGAGGCGUGGCUUCCGGAGCUAACGCGUUAAGUCGACCGCCUGGGGAGUACGGCCGCAAGGUUAAAACUCAAAUGAAUUGACGGGGGCCCGCACAAGCGGUGGAGCAUGUGGUUUAAUUCGAUGCAACGCGAAGAACCUUACCUGGUCUUGACAUCCACAGAACUUUCCAGAGAUGGAUUGGUGCCUUCGGGAACUGUGAGACAGGUGCUGCAUGGCUGUCGUCAGCUCGUGUUGUGAAAUGUUGGGUUAAGUCCCGCAACGAGCGCAACCCUUAUCCUUUGUUGCCAGCGGUCCGGCCGGGAACUCAAAGGAGACUGCCAGUGAUAAACUGGAGGAAGGUGGGGAUGACGUCAAGUCAUCAUGGCCCUUACGACCAGGGCUACACACGUGCUACAAUGGCGCAUACAAAGAGAAGCGACCUCGCGAGAGCAAGCGGACCUCAUAAAGUGCGUCGUAGUCCGGAUUGGAGUCUGCAACUCGACUCCAUGAAGUCGGAAUCGCUAGUAAUCGUGGAUCAGAAUGCCACGGUGAAUACGUUCCCGGGCCUUGUACACACCGCCCGUCACACCAUGGGAGUGGGUUGCAAAAGAAGUAGGUAGCUUAACCUUCGGGAGGGCGCUUACCACUUUGUGAUUCAUGACUGGGGUGAAGUCGUAACAAGGUAACCGUAGGGGAACCUGCGGUUGGAUCACCUCCUU
This 1541-nucleotide ribosomal RNA is filed under the name Escherichia coli. RNAcentral's name for it is "bacterial SSU rRNA". It matches the Rfam family "Bacterial small subunit ribosomal RNA". The record is from RNAcentral. Lineage: Bacteria; Pseudomonadati; Pseudomonadota; Gammaproteobacteria; Enterobacterales; Enterobacteriaceae.